Molecule: ribosomal RNA, 589 nt
Filed under: uncultured archaeon
Lineage: Archaea
Description: bacterial SSU rRNA
Rfam family: Archaeal small subunit ribosomal RNA
Source: RNAcentral
AAGGAAUUGGCGGGGGAGCACUACAACCGGAGGAGCCUGCGGUUUAAUUGGACUCAACGCCGGACAUCUCACCAGCCCCGACAUCAGUAAUGACAGUCAUGUUGACGACAUCCGCUCGAGCUGAUGAGAGGAGGUGCAUGGCCGCCGUCAGCUCGUACCGUGAGGCAUCCUGUUAAGUCAGGCAACGAGCGAGAUCCACGUCCCUAAUUGCCAGCACCAUCGCACGAUGGGUGGGUACAUUAGGGAGACUGCCAGUGCUAAACUGGAGGAAGGAAUGGGCAACGGUAGGUCAGUAUGCCCCGAAUGGGCUGGGCAACACGCGGGCUACAAUGGUCAGGACAACGGGUUCCAACACUGAAAAGUGACGGUAAUCUCGCAAACCUGGUCGUAGUUCGGAUUGCGGGCUGAAACUCGCCCACAUGAAGCUGGAUUCGGUAGUAAUCGCGUGUCAGAAGCGCGCGGUGAAUACGUCCCUGCUCCUUGCACACACCGCCCGUCAAAGCACCCGAGUGAGGUCCGGAUGAGGUCACAUCACUGUGGUCAAAUCUGGGCUUCGCAAGGGGGCUUAAGUCGUAACAAGGUAGCCGUA